This 590-nucleotide ribosomal RNA is filed under the name Collophorina neorubra. RNAcentral's name for it is "partial large subunit ribosomal RNA". It matches the Rfam family "Eukaryotic large subunit ribosomal RNA", at positions 50 to 658 of the family's 3401-position model. Lineage: Eukaryota; Fungi; Ascomycota; Leotiomycetes; Phacidiales. The record is from RNAcentral.
GCGGAGGAAAAGAAACCAACAGGGAUUGCCUCAGUAACGGCGAGUGAAGCGGCAUCAGCUCAAAUUUGAAAUCCGGUCUCACGACCCGAGUUGUAAUUUGUAGAGAAUGCUUCGGGCGAGGUUCGGUCUAAGUUCCUUGGAACAGGAUGUCAUAGAGGGUGAGAAUCCCGUAUGCGACCGGUCGCCUCUGCCCAUGUGAAGCUUCUUCGACGAGUCGAGUUGUUUGGGAAUGCAGCUCAAAAUGGGUGGUAAAUUUCAUCUAAAGCUAAAUAUUGGCCAGAGACCGAUAGCGCACAAGUAGAGUGAUCGAAAGAUGAAAAGCACUUUGGAAAGAGAGUUAAACAGUACGUGAAAUUGUUGAAAGGGAAGCGCUUGCAACCAGACUUGCGCGCAGCCGAUCAUCCGGUGUUCUCACCGGUGCACUCGGUUGCGCUCAGGCCAGCAUCGGUUUGGGUGGUUGGAUAAAGGCCUGGGGAAUGUAGCUCCUCUCGGGGAGUGUUAUAGCCCUGGGUGCAAUGCAGCCUACCGAGACCGAGGACCGCGCUUCGGCUAGGAUGCUGGCGUAAUGGUUGUAAGCGACCCGUCUUGAA